Molecule: ribosomal RNA, 408 nt
Filed under: Fusobacteriota bacterium
Lineage: Bacteria; Fusobacteriati; Fusobacteriota
Description: Fusobacteria bacterium partial 16S ribosomal RNA
Rfam family: Bacterial small subunit ribosomal RNA
Source: RNAcentral
AGGGGAAUAUUGCACAAUGGACGGAAGUCUGAUGCAGCAACGCCGCGUGCGGGAUGACGGCCUUCGGGUUGUAAACCGCUUUUUCUCAUGACGAAGUUUUUUGACGGUAGUGGGGGAAGAAGCACCGGCUAACUACGUGCCAGCAGCCGCGGUGAUACGUAGGGUGCGAGCGUUGUCCGGAAUUAUUGGGCGUAAAGAGCUUGUAGGCGGUUUGUCGCGUCGAUAGUGCAAACUCAGUGCUUAACGCUGAGCCUGCUGUUGAUACGGGCAGACUAGAGGAAGGUAGGGGAGAAUGGAAUUCCCGGUGGAGCGGUGGAAUGCGCAGAUAUCGGGAGGAACACCGGUGGCGAAGGCGGUUCUCUGGGCCUUUCCUGACGCUGAGAAGCGAAAGCGUGGGGAGCGAACAGG